AGAAAAGCAGGGGCUUGGUGAGCAGGCCUCCUGUAAACUUCAGGGAAAUUAUUUACAUUGUUAUUGGGUGAACCUCUGUUAUAUUUGUAUCAGAAGGUUCAGUAAAUGGUGGUACAUGA
Small nucleolar RNA from Macadamia integrifolia, 119 nucleotides. RefSeq annotates it as small nucleolar RNA snoR74. The record is from RefSeq and is a predicted model, not a curated record. The transcript has a single exon. Lineage: Eukaryota; Viridiplantae; Streptophyta; Magnoliopsida; Proteales; Proteaceae.